This 253-nucleotide ribosomal RNA is filed under the name uncultured bacterium. RNAcentral describes it as "partial 16S ribosomal RNA". It matches the Rfam family "Bacterial small subunit ribosomal RNA", at positions 524 to 776 of the family's 1533-position model. The record is from RNAcentral.
UACGGAGGGUGCAAGCGUUGUUCGGAAUCACUGGGCGUAAAGCGCGUGUAGGCGGCCUCUUAAGUCUGGUGUGAAAGCCCGGGGCUCACCCUCGGAAGGGCACUGGAUACUGGGAGGCUAGAGUACCGGAGAGGAGGGUGGAAUUCCUGGUGUAGCGGUGAAAUGCGUCGAUAUCAGGAGGAACACCGGUGGCGAAGGCGGCCCUCUAGACGGCUACUGACACUGAGACGCGAAAGAGUGGGGAGCAAACAGG